GCAGGAGUGGCGGAACGGCAGACGCGCACGGUUCAGGUCCGUGUGAUGGCAACAUCGUGAGGGUUCAAAUCCCUUUUCCUGCA
This 83-nucleotide transfer RNA is filed under the name Lachnospiraceae bacterium. RNAcentral's name for it is "tRNA-Leu". It matches the Rfam family "tRNA". Rfam says of the family: Transfer RNA (tRNA) molecules are approximately 80 nucleotides in length. Their secondary structure includes four short double-helical elements and three loops (D, anti-codon, and T loops). The record is from RNAcentral. Lineage: Bacteria; Bacillati; Bacillota; Clostridia; Lachnospirales; Lachnospiraceae.